Molecule: ribosomal RNA, 253 nt
Filed under: uncultured bacterium
Lineage: Bacteria
Description: partial 16S ribosomal RNA
Rfam family: Bacterial small subunit ribosomal RNA
Source: RNAcentral
UACGAAGGGGGCUAGCGUUGCUCGGAAUCACUGGGCGUAAAGCGCACGUAGGCGGAUCUUUAAGUCAGGGGUGAAAUCCUGGAGCUCAACUCCAGAACUGCCUUUGAUGCUGGGGAUCUCGAGUCCGGAAGAGGUGAGUGGAACUCCGAGUGUAGAGGUGAAAUUCGUAGAUAUUCGGAAGAACACCAGUGGCGAAGGCGGCUCACUGGUCCGGUACUGACGCUGAGGUGCGAAAGCGUGGGGAGCAAACAGG